AUGCCUCGCUCCCUCGCCGGCGACCUCACCGACCCGGAGAUGGCGCAGCCCUACAUGAAGAAGGAUGACGACGACUCCGACAUCGAGUACUCACCAUUUUUCGGGAUUGAGAAGGGGGCUGUUCUGCAGGAGGCACGUGCUUUCCAUGACCCCCAGCUUGAUGCCAGACGAUGCUCGCAAGUUAUCACCAAGCUAUUAUAUUUAAUUAAUCAAGGAGAGUCAUUUACAAAGGUUGAGGCCACAGAAGUUUUCUUUGCAGUUACGAAGCUAUUCCAGUCCAAUGAUGCUGGUCUCAGGAGGCUGGUGUAUUUGAUGAUCAAAGAGCUUUCUCCAUCAUCAGACGAGGUUUUCAUAGUCACAAGCUCAUUGAUGAAAGAUAUGAACAGUAAGACAGAUAUGUACCGUGCCAAUGCAAUUAGAGUUCUCUGUAGAAUAAUAGACGGCAACCUCCUUACUCAAAUCGAGAGAUACUUGAAGCAAGCUAUUGUAGACAAAAAUCCUGUGGUUGCUAGUGCUGCUCUUGUUAGUGGUAUCCACCUGCUUCAGGCAAAUCCAGAAAUUGUGAAAAGAUGGAGCAACGAAGUGCAGGAAGCUGUGCAAUCAAGAGCUGCACUUGUGCAAUUUCAUGGCCUUGCUCUUCUUCAUCAGACCAGACAGAAUGAUCGUUUGGCUGUUAGCAAGCUCGUCUCUAGUUUGACUAGGGGGUCAGUGCGCUCACCCCUUGCACAAUGUCUUCUGAUUCGUUACACGAGCCAGGUAAUACGUGAGUCAAGCAACACCCAAAGUGGUGAUCGCCCAUUUUUUGAUUAUCUGGAAUCAUGUCUCAGACAUAAAGCAGAAAUGGUGAUUUUAGAGGCUGCGAGGAAAAUAACAGAGAUGGAUGUGACAAGUCGUGAAUUAGCACCAGCGAUUACCGUGUUACAGUUAUUUUUGAGCUCAUCCAAACCCGUGCUUCGAUUUGCAGCUGUCCGAACACUCAAUAAGGUUGCUAUAACACGCCCUUUGGCAGUGACAAACUGCAAUGUUGACUUGGAGAGUCUGAUGUCAGACCAGAACAGGAGUAUAGCGACCCUGGCAAUCACUACACUUCUUAAAACUGGCAAUGAAUCAAGUGUGGAUCGCCUCAUGAAACAAAUUACCAGUUUCAUGUCUGACAUAUCAGAUGAAUUCAAGAUAGUUGUCAUUGAAGCUAUACGAUCUCUUUGCCUGAAGUUCCCACUGAAGUAUCGUUCAAUGAUGAUUUUCUUAAGUAACAGUUUGAGAGAAGAAGGGGGCUUUGAGUAUAAAAAGGCCAUAGUUGAUUCUAUAGUUACCCUGAUCGGCGCGAUACCAGACGCGAAAGAAAUUGGUCUUCUGCAUCUUUGCGAAUUCAUUGAAGACUGUGAAUUCACAUAUCUUUCUAGUCAGGUUGACACAUCUUCAGGGGAAGCUGAUGAAGAUGGUGUGGAGGAUGAAUACCAACUAGAAGACCUUGAAAUUGUUUCAGCUGAUUAUAUGCUGAGGGUCGCAGUUUCUAACUUUAGGAAUGCCUGGGAGAAUAUGGACCCAGAAAGUGAGCGUGUGGAUGAGUAUGGACUCGGGGCUAGAGAGAGCUUGGCUGAGGCCGUGAGUGCUGUCACUAGUAUCCUUGGCAUGCAACCGUGUGAGGGCACUGAGGUUGUACCAAGCAAUGCAAGAUCGCAUGUUUGCCUGCUUUCUGGAGUGUAUAUAGGGGGCGUCAAGGUUCUUGUCAGGUUAUCAUUGGGACUAAGCGGGCCCAAGGAAGUGGCAAUGAAGCUGGCGGUAAGGUCAGAUGACCCCGAAGUCAGCGACAAGAUCCAUGAGAUUGUUGCCAGUGGGUAA
RNAcentral lists this ribosomal RNA (1842 nucleotides) under Triticum aestivum (bread wheat). RNAcentral's name for it is "partial small subunit ribosomal RNA". The record is from RNAcentral. Lineage: Eukaryota; Viridiplantae; Streptophyta; Magnoliopsida; Poales; Poaceae.